GACGAACGCUGGCGGCGUGCUUAACACAUGCAAGUCGAGCGGUAAGGCCCUUUCGGGGGUACGACGAGCGGCGAACGGGUGAGUAACACGUGGGUGGACCUGCCCUCAGCUCUGGGAGUAAGCCGUGGGAAACCGGGUCUAAUAACUGGAUAUGACUCCAUGACGCAUGUUGGUGGGGUGGAAAGCCUUGCGCGGCUGAGGA
RNAcentral lists this ribosomal RNA (202 nucleotides) under uncultured bacterium. RNAcentral describes it as "partial 16S ribosomal RNA". It matches the Rfam family "Bacterial small subunit ribosomal RNA", at positions 28 to 225 of the family's 1533-position model. The record is from RNAcentral.